This is a long non-coding RNA of Mytilus californianus (California mussel), 2273 nucleotides long. RefSeq lists it as uncharacterized. NCBI's taxonomy places the organism in Eukaryota, Metazoa, Mollusca, Bivalvia, Mytilida, Mytilidae. The record is from RefSeq and is a predicted model, not a curated record. The transcript has 2 exons.
AUGAUAUACUUUGGCGAAAAACUAUCUAACAGACAGGUAUACAAACUAAUAUUAGAGGGAAAGAAAUUUUCAUUAUAAUAAAGAAACUAACAACAAAUGUGUUCGGUAUAGGAGUAUAGAAAAUAGACAAACGACUACCAACUACAAAACAAAUCAUACAAAGUCAUCCAAAAGGGUUAACUAUAUGAAACUGUUGGAUAUCAAAAUUGUUUGAUGUAAACUAUUGUUAUUAGUCAACAUAUGUAUCAACUACUGUAUCGAUUGUCUUCAGAAUCGUAAACCAGGUUCUAAUUAUGACUUCGUUAAAAUAACUCUCUGAAGUUAUUAGAUUCAACCUGUAUGCGUUGCUCUGACGAAAUAAUCUACCUCGUGUUUCAAUGUUCAAUUUUGACAUCAUAAGAAUUUUUUGUCAUGUAUUCAAAUUUAGCAUUUUGUCGUUUUUAUGAUACCACACAAACUAAUAAUGCUGGUUGCGAAAUGUUUCUAUAGUCGACUCAUCACUUCCCCUUAAGAUAGUUGAAAGACCAAAUCAAGUACACAGUUGAUGAAAGUUGUAACCAAAACACUUGAACAGGAAAAUGAAAUCCAUUGAUGCAUAAUAGAAUAUAAAAUUGCAUUGUAUUAUCGACAUAGAACUGUGCUGCGAUUGAUAUAAAAAAUGAAGUCAGAUGAUGGUUUUAUAUAUUCAUUUGAAAUCAUCAUAAUGAUUUUUGUCAUUUCAAGACAUUAACCUCAUCAUAUAUACCAGGGUUAAACUUUUGUCUAUCGUCAACAACUAAAGAGAAAAGUUUAUCUCUGAGCAUACAAAACUAAUGAAAAUUAUAACAAAGUUUAAAUGAAUUUCAUUAAAUCAUUCCAAUAACACGAGACUUAUCUUACAAUUGAUGAAAACUUCUUGUUGCACCCGUAGUGAUAGAGAGCUGAUUUAUAUUUGUCUCGUGUCUCAUGUUGUUUGAUAACUCUGUUAAUUUCGUAUUGUAUUAUGUUGCUGUUGUUGCAAACAUGUUGUGCCCGAGUGUUAAAAUAACAAAGACGCAUUUAUAAAUGUGUCAUACAUGAUAUGUGCAAACAUCAAAUUUAAAGAUAACUGUACGCAUGUGUAAAUGAUUGUUUUCCAUUUAUUGUUUUCUGAUCUGAACUAUAUUCAAAUAUACAGUAUUGUUUAGCACAGUAAAUAUACAUAGCAAUGAGCACAUUAUCGAAACAGCAAUGUCAUAGGCGUCACGUAAAUUUGGGAGGAAUUUUGUGAUUAAAACUUGUUAGGUUGAUUAAUUAUAUUUUUGAAAUUGUCUUUCUUAUAUAUUAUUCAUUAAAAAUUCUUAUACAUGUUGUAUUUGAGUACUGUAAUCUGCCAAAAUACUCUUUAUUAUUCUUUAAAAGUCGUUUUAAAUGAUGUGAAUAUUAAUUUUAUUUAUUUUCUUAUAUGCUUUGUCUAUAUGGCUUUUUGUGUUUCUUUGAUUCAUAUGACGUGGCUCUGUACUUAUACAUCCCGUUAUUGUGUUAUUGUGACAUGGUGAAUGUUUGUUUAAUGUUUGUUUGUUUUAUAGUGAUAAAGAUAAUAACACAAUGUUGACUGUUGUACCCAUAUUUUUGACAUGUUUGCCUGUUGUGUCUGUUUAAUUUGUUCACACAUCGUUGUCAAUAUAAUGGCAUGGUAUGCAAAUGUCAUACAAGUGAGAGGUUUAGCUAGCUUUAAAACCAGGUUUAAACCAUCAUUUUCUACUUAAGAAAAUGCCUGUUCCAAGUCAGUAAUAUGACAGUUGAUGUCCAUUCGUUUGAUGUUUUUGGGCUUUUGAUUUUGCCAUUUGAAAAAGGACUUUUCGUUUAUUGUUGCAUCGAAAAGGUUCAUUAUUUAUGAUUCAUGAACAUUAGUUUUAUUUUUAAUUUACAAAAACAAAAAUAUUGCUUGUUCUUGUUCAUCAAGAUUGCAAAUGAGACAACUCUCCACAAGAGACCAAAUGACACAGAAAUUAACAACUAUAGGUCAUCAUACGGCCUUCAACUACUUUUUCUCAUUGGCAAUCAAACCACAUCUUCUUCUUUAUAUUUGGGAUUUGACAUUUUAUUCAUAAAAUAUACUACAGAUUCUUAUAUUCAUCAGUCAUGUCAGUACAGUCCCAAAGUCACAGUUGUUCAUUUAAUGCGUAUAAUGCUCAUGCUAAUAGUUAUUGUUACCAUGACUUUUACUUUUAAGGUUCUUAUUAUUAUCUUAUAUUAGAAGUAUUGUAUCUAUUAUCAUUAUGUUUCAACUGACAAUAAAACAUUUUCAAACA